AAGAAGGAAUUGAUGAACAGCUAUUCCAAGAUGCAAAAGUGUGUAUAAUAAACUCUUAUAUUUUUUCAAUGUUUAAUAAUUAUGACAUAAUUGCAAAGUUAGAUAACAUUCGGGCAAAUGAUCAUGAUAUUAAUCAUAUAAAUAAUUUUUCAAACUAUAUUAAUGACGUGGAAUUAGAAAAUGUAAAUGAAUUAGCCAAAUCUUUAUUAGAUACUGAAAAUUUAUUUUUUUGUGGAAGUUGGAAAAUACCAUCAAGAUACGAACAACAUUCAGAAAUACACUUUAGGUGUAUGGUCUAUAAGAGCUGAAAGUAUCGCAAAAUAGUUAUAUAAGGUUGCUUGGAGUGUGUAAAUUAUCUCCUAGCAAAAAGCACUUGAUAUUAGUGCCUCCUUUUAUAUACAGCAACAUCUCUUUUAUCAUUU
Cinara cedri is the source of this 422-nucleotide non-coding RNA. NCBI's taxonomy places the organism in Eukaryota, Metazoa, Arthropoda, Insecta, Hemiptera, Aphididae. The record is from the annotation of a GenBank genome assembly.